GACGAACGCUGGCGGCGUGCUUAACACAUGCAAGUCGAACGGAAAGGCCCUGCUUUUGUGGGGUGCUCGAGUGGCGAACGGGUGAGUAACACGUGAGUAACCUGCCCUUGACUUUGGGAUAACUUCAGGAAACUGGGGCUAAUACCGGAUAGGAGCUCCUGCUGCAUGGUGGGGGUUGGAAAGUUUCGGCAGUUGGGGAUGUACUCGCGGCUUAUCAGCUUGUUGGUGGGGUAGUGGGUUACCAAGGCUUUGACGGGUAGCCGGCCUGAGAGGGUGACCGGCCACACGGGAACUGAGAGAGGGGCCAGACUACUAAGGGAGGCAGCAGUAGGGAAUCGUACGCAAGGGGGGGAAGCCGGAAGGAGCAACGCCGCGUGAGUGACGAAGGGCUUCGGAGCGGAAAACGGUGUGAUGAGGGAAGAACAAAUGUGUAAGUAAAUAUGCACGGCUUGACGGGACCUAAUCAGAAAGCCACGGCUAACUACGUG
Molecule: ribosomal RNA, 488 nt
Filed under: uncultured bacterium
Lineage: Bacteria
Description: partial 16S ribosomal RNA
Rfam family: Bacterial small subunit ribosomal RNA
Source: RNAcentral